CUCUUUGCUGUGUCUCUGUCAUGUCUCGUACCAGGUGUUAGGUUUUAUUUAGUUUUUUUGUCUUGUAUUUGUGUUGUCUCGUGGCUUUUAUUUUGAAAC
Long non-coding RNA from Stegastes partitus (bicolor damselfish), 99 nucleotides. RefSeq lists it as uncharacterized. The transcript has 3 exons. Lineage: Eukaryota; Metazoa; Chordata; Actinopteri; Pomacentridae. The record is from RefSeq and is a predicted model, not a curated record.